AUGGCUCCCUGCAUGCAUGCCUAAAUGUGGAAUAGCCCAUUGAUUUGGUCUCUCAUGUCUCUGUAAUCUGCCUCUGUAAUCUCUUCAAAAGUUGCAGCCAGAGCGUGGGCAAUGUGCCUGCGCAAGUUUAUAGGGAGAGCCACCGUGGUCCUUGUCCCGGUCAGACUAAAUCUUCCGCGCCACUGUGCCGCGAGGGGUGGGGGGACCAUUGCUGCACACAGGCAAGCUGCAUAGGGACCAGGGCGGAAUCCACAUUGCUGUAGAAGACCCUCCCUCUCUUCCCAGGUAACACACAGCAGUGAUAUAUCUGGCAGUAGAAAAUCCUGUUGAGAAUGUAGGGAUAUAGCGUUCAGUGCAGGUCCCUGCACUCUGCUUUCACCCCGGGCAGGUCCCAAAGACUUCCUGCACUCUGCUUUCCCCAGUGCAGGUCCCAAAGACCCCCUGCACUCUGCUUUCUCCCCAGUGCAGGUCCCAAAGACUCCCUGCACUCUGCUUUCUCCCCAUGCAGGUCCCAAAGACUCCCUGCACUCUGCUUUCUCCCCAGUGCAGGUCCCAAAGACUCCCUGCACUCUGCUUUCUCCCCAGUGCAGGUCCCAAAGACCCCCUGCACUCUGCUUUCUCCCCAGUGCAGGUCCCAAAGACUCCCUGCACUCUGCUUUCUCCCCAGUGCAGGUCCCAAAGACUCCCUGCACUCUGCUUUCCCCAGUGCAGGUCCCAAA
Gopherus flavomarginatus (Mexican gopher tortoise) is the source of this 719-nucleotide long non-coding RNA. RefSeq lists it as uncharacterized. The record is from RefSeq and is a predicted model, not a curated record. Lineage: Eukaryota; Metazoa; Chordata; Testudines; Testudinidae. The transcript has 5 exons.